This 180-nucleotide unclassified non-coding RNA is filed under the name uncultured fungus. Its description in RNAcentral is "partial contains 5.8S ribosomal RNA, internal transcribed spacer 2, and large subunit ribosomal RNA". The record is from RNAcentral. Lineage: Eukaryota; Fungi.
AACGCACAUUGCGCCCGCUGGUAUUCCAGCGGGCAUGCCCGUUCGAGCGUCAUUUCAAUUCCUUCCCAGGAAGGAGCCGCUGUCUCCACAGAGGUUCCUGCCAGGGGCGUUGGCACCGGCCGUAAAACACCUACACCUAAGGUUGACCUCGGAUCAGGUAGGAAUACCCGCUGAACUUAA